RNAcentral lists this long non-coding RNA (1496 nucleotides) under Notechis scutatus (mainland tiger snake). Its description in RNAcentral is "lncRNA (ENSNSUG00000008817.1)". Lineage: Eukaryota; Metazoa; Chordata; Lepidosauria; Squamata; Elapidae. The record is from RNAcentral.
AUUAAUUAUGAAGAUGUUAAGUGCUGAUUUCAUGAUGUGUGACUUCAAAUGAAUUUGAACGGGUGAAUGAUCAGAAAGAUUUCACUGCAAGACCUAUUUGUUUCUUGGUUACUAUCUUCUGUUCCUCGAAUUCAUACAUUAUUAAAUCAGUCACAUUGGAGCCUAUUAUAGAUCCAGUGUCACUAUGGAGGAAGAGUGGCUGAUGAUCUCACUUUAUUCUGUUUAUUUGGAUCUAUUGGCCAUUUUCCACCUGCUGGUGACCCAACUCCCAAGUUGAUUAAUUCUGGCAUGAGUGAACUUGUGCUGUUUGCCUGGAAUUGUUGCUGAGAGCAAGUAAGGAUCACUCUUUGUAGAAAUUCAUCCUUGUGAGAAAAAAAACAACAACAGUCACUGUGAGAGAGAAAAUUGGCGGAUCAGUUUAAUCCAGCCAAUGGAUGAAUCCAUGCAAUGACUACGUGGCCCCCUGAUUACUUUGCACCAUGAGAACGCUGCAAUAUUAGAUUGUUUUAUUGUCUAGGCCAGGGAUCUCCAAACUUGGUCACUUUUAAGACUUCGUCUCCCAGAAUUCCUCAGCCAAAAUGGAAUUCUUGAGUUGAAGUUCACAAAUCUUAAAAGUUGCCAUGUUUGGAAACCCCUGGCCUAGCCUAAUGCAGUAAAUAAAACAUCUUUGCUUCAUUUAAAGGUAUGUCACCAAUAGAUGGGAAGCAGAUUUUUCCCCAAAAAAAGUUAAUUAUUUAAGGAUGCAGACUUGAAACAAAAAGUACAGCGAUGACAGCGGAAAAGAUGUAUUUCCUUCUCUCAGAAGAGGGAAUAAUGCUUAAGACCAUGCUUGCUGUGACCUCGCUAGAUUUUUUUUUAAAGAUAGCAGACACACACACACACACACACACACCCCUGAAGUUUCUGGAUGUUUGUCCCAUCUUCAGUGAUGCUUUCCUCUGUUGUAACUUUAUUUUGAAAACGACACCCCUGCUCUAAGGCAAGGAUAAGCUACCAUGACCCACCCAGAUGUCAUUAGACCGCAACUCCCAUUAUCUCUGCCUAUUGGUCUUGUUAUCUGAAGCUGAUGGGGGUUGGAGAUUUCUACUGUUCUAAAAUUCUUGCUUCUCUAAAAUAUUUGCCUCUGGUUCCUUUAGGAAGUCUUCCAAGAGUGAUUCAUGUGCUACCUCAAAAACAGAAUGACUGAAUUGUGCUAGCUUCCCUAGUGGGGAGACCACAUCGAUGUGGCAAUUUUGCACAUGGAUUUUAUUGUUCAGGCAUAAUUGGGAGUGGGAAGUGACAUAGCCUCAGGGAAUGUGGCAAUUAUACUUGUUUUUAAUGUAGGCUUCACUUCUAGAAGAAUAUCUGAGAAGAAUAUGUUCGUCCUACUGGAUUUUGGCCUAUAAAAUGACUUAAUAGAAUUUAGUUCAGUUCUUGGACUCACCUAUAUUUUCAAAUCUGGGAAGCGACUUAAUUCUCUUAAUAAAUUGGCAACUUAUCAAAAUUGACUGGAUUUA